GAUGAACGCUAGCGGCAGGCUUAACACAUGCAAGUCGAGGGGCAGCGCGAUGUAGCAAUACAUUGGCGGCGACCGGCGCACGGGUGCGUAACACGUAUGGAACCUGCCCUGUACUGGAAGAUAACCCGGAGAAAUCCGGACUAAUAUUCCAUAAUAAACGAGGUGGCAUCACCUUGUUUUGAAAGCUCCGGCGGUACAGGAUGGUCAUGCGCACGAUUAGCUAGUUGGUGAGGUAACGGCUCACCAAGGCUACGAUCGUUAGGGGGCCUGAGAGGGUUAUCCCCCACACUGGUACUGAGACACGGACCAGACUCCUACGGGAGGCAGCAGUGAGGAAUAUUGCGCAAUGGAGGCAACUCUGACGCAGCCAUGCCGCGUGCAGGAAGAAGGCGCUACGCGUUGUAAACUGCUUUUAACCGGGAAGAAACCCCAGGACGUGUCCUGGGUUGACGGUACCGGAGGAAUAAGCACCGGCUAACUUCGUGCCAGCAGCCGACGG
This 499-nucleotide ribosomal RNA is filed under the name uncultured bacterium. RNAcentral describes it as "bacterial SSU rRNA". It matches the Rfam family "Bacterial small subunit ribosomal RNA", at positions 28 to 520 of the family's 1533-position model. The record is from RNAcentral.